This 739-nucleotide ribosomal RNA is filed under the name uncultured bacterium. Its description in RNAcentral is "bacterial SSU rRNA". It matches the Rfam family "Bacterial small subunit ribosomal RNA", at positions 8 to 796 of the family's 1533-position model. The record is from RNAcentral.
AGAGUUUGAUCAUGGCUCAGAACGAACGCUGGCGGCAUGCCUAACACAUGCAAGUCGAACGCACCGCAAGGUGAGUGGCGCACGGGUGAGUAACGCGUGGGAACCUGCCCUGGAGUGGGGGAUAACCCGGCGAAAGCCGGGCUAAUACCGCAUACGUCCUGAGGGAGAAAGAUUUAUCGCUCUAGGAGGGGCCCGCGUCGGAUUAGCUAGUUGGUGAGGUAACGGCUCACCAAGGCGACGAUCCGUAGCUGGUCUGAGAGGAUGAUCAGCCACACUGGGACUGAGACACGGCCCAGACUCCUACGGGAGGCAGCAGUGGGGAAUAUUGGACAAUGGGGGAAACCCUGAUCCAGCAAUGCCGCGUGAGUGAUGAAGGCCUUAGAGUUGUAAAGCUCUUUCGGCGGGGACGAUGAUGACGGUACCCGCAGAAGAAGCCCCGGCUAACUUCGUGCCAGCAGCCGCGGUAAUACGAAGGGGGCAAGCGUUGUUCGGAAUUACUGGGCGUAAAGGGCGCGCAGGCGGCCGACGUAGUCAGGCGUGAAAGCCCCGGGCUUAACCUGGGAAUUGCGUUUGAUACUGGUUGGCUAGAGUUCGGGAGAGGAUGGUGGAAUUCCCAGUGUAGAGGUGAAAUUCGUAGAUAUUGGGAAGAACACCGGUGGCGAAGGCGGCCUCUGGACCGAAACUGACGCUGAGGCGCGAAAGCGUGGGGAGCAAACAGGAUUAGAUACCCCCGUAGUCC